This is a non-coding RNA of Absidia repens, 47 nucleotides long. Lineage: Eukaryota; Fungi; Mucoromycota; Mucoromycetes; Mucorales; Cunninghamellaceae. The record is from Rfam.
UAAAAGGUUUUUUUUAAAACCAACCUCGAGUCUUAGUACUUUUAUUU